CCCCCCCCCCCCCCCCCCCCAACUGGUCUAAAAAAGAGAUUGGACCACAGCGUUCUGAACAGCUAAAAGUUGAGCUAUAUAAAAGUUAUAUCUUUUUACUGUUGCAUUUAAAGGAAAAUGUUUUGUUAUAUUUUAUGUAUGCAUGGUUACUUGUAUCUCUGAAAUAUUUUAAAAGCUUGAUAAUUGUGACUGUGAAGGUUAAUGAACUGGUGAUUUUUUCAUUUAAGGUUGACUGUAAAUUUUGUUGUUCUAGUUCCACUGGUAGUACCUGAAGUGAAGAUUGAUUUAUUUUUUUUUGAUAGACAUUAUAAAGCUGUCAGGUGCCUUACAUUCUAAAGUAUUUUUGCUAUAUUUUGUUAUAAGGAGUCUAAUAAAGUUUGAUGGGUUGAUUGAUUUGUAAGCUGAGAAAUUUAUUUUUUUCUUAGGGUUAAAAUUAUGUUUUACUCUUUGUGUAAUCAUCUUCCUAAAAUCCUAUCAUUAUAAUAGUUUUGAAAAGAAAAUGAAAGAAGAGAUUCAUCUUAAUGUGCAACCCAUAGUUUGAAAACCUUACCACUAGGUCAAUACAGAUAUUGU
Non-coding RNA from Biomphalaria pfeifferi, 573 nucleotides. NCBI's taxonomy places the organism in Eukaryota, Metazoa, Mollusca, Gastropoda, Planorbidae. The record is from the annotation of a GenBank genome assembly.